UCCUACGGGGGGCUGCAGUGGGGGAUAUUGCGCAAUGGGCGAAAGCCUGACGCAGCGACGCCGCGUGGGUGAUGAAGGCCUUCGGGUCGUAAAGCCCUGUCGAGGGGGACGAAACGGCUCCGACCUAAUACGUCGGGGUUCUGACGGUACCCCUAAAGGAAGCACCGGCUAACUCCGUGCCAGCAGCCGCGGUAAUACGGAGGGUGCGAGCGUUGUUCGGAAUCACUGGGCGUAAAGCGCGUGUAGGCGGUCUGCUAAGUCUGAUGUGAAAGCCCGGGGCUCACCCCCGGAAGUGCAUUGGAAACUGACAGACUGGAGUCCCGGAGAGGAGGGUGGAAUUCCUGGUGUAGCGGUGAAAUGCGUAGAUAUCAGGAGGAACACCGGUGGCGAAGGCGGCCCUCUGGACGGUGACUGACGCUGAGACGCGAAAGCGUGGGGAGCAAACAGGAUUAGAUACCCCGGUAGUCC
RNAcentral lists this ribosomal RNA (468 nucleotides) under uncultured Syntrophobacteraceae bacterium. RNAcentral describes it as "bacterial SSU rRNA". It matches the Rfam family "Bacterial small subunit ribosomal RNA", at positions 337 to 796 of the family's 1533-position model. Lineage: Bacteria; Pseudomonadati; Thermodesulfobacteriota; Syntrophobacteria; Syntrophobacterales; Syntrophobacteraceae. The record is from RNAcentral.